This 311-nucleotide unclassified non-coding RNA is filed under the name Hevea brasiliensis (rubber tree). Lineage: Eukaryota; Viridiplantae; Streptophyta; Magnoliopsida; Malpighiales; Euphorbiaceae. The record is from RNAcentral.
AGAAAAAAAAAAAAAAAGAAAGAUUGACCUCAUAGUUCAUGAGCUGCACAUUCUGGUAGUGGAAAAUGUCUAGCAUUAUAUUGGGAUUUGGUAUUGGCAUUCCCCUUUAAUUAUUUUGUAGGUUUAGCCAGCAUCUUGCGAUUGGUUAUAGGUAUUGAUGCUUCUACUUUCAUGAAUCUCAUUCUUUGUACAUGUUACUACUUUUAGAAUUACAGCGGUGAAUUUUCACUACUUGGUGCUUUGUAUGUAGAGAACAUUAUGUAUUAAACUGAUUGAUAUAGAACGUAAUGUACAUUUAAAAAUAAGGGAGA